AGCGGAUUAGCUCAGCUUGGUAGAGCACUUGGUUUGGGACCAAGGGGUCGCAGGUUCGAAUCCUGUCUUCCCGA
Molecule: transfer RNA, 74 nt
Filed under: Listeria monocytogenes
Lineage: Bacteria; Bacillati; Bacillota; Bacilli; Caryophanales; Listeriaceae
Description: tRNA-Pro
Rfam family: tRNA
About the family: Transfer RNA (tRNA) molecules are approximately 80 nucleotides in length. Their secondary structure includes four short double-helical elements and three loops (D, anti-codon, and T loops).
Source: RNAcentral